AUCUAGGGCCAUACCACCCUGAAUUCAUUCAAUCUCUGCGCUAUCUGGGAAGCUAUGCAGGGUCAGACCUGGUUAGUACUUGGAAGGGAGAAACUACUUAUCAGAUG
Molecule: ribosomal RNA, 107 nt
Filed under: Microtus ochrogaster (prairie vole)
Lineage: Eukaryota; Metazoa; Chordata; Mammalia; Rodentia; Cricetidae
Source: RNAcentral